Schistocerca piceifrons (Central American locust) is the source of this 1332-nucleotide long non-coding RNA. RefSeq lists it as uncharacterized. The record is from RefSeq and is a predicted model, not a curated record. The transcript has 2 exons. NCBI's taxonomy places the organism in Eukaryota, Metazoa, Arthropoda, Insecta, Orthoptera, Acrididae.
UGUCUCCAGAGAUCUGGGCCGAGUGGUGACGUGCGCAACAUUUCUUACUACGCAACGGGAAGUUGUGAUUGUGCUGAAUGAUGUAAUUCGUACAUUCCCUCCCCGUACCUCCCUUUGAAUUAUAAAAGUGAAAACAAAUUUUGCUAAGCUAGUGUCGCUGAACCUCAGACCUUUCCAAACAAUAAGUAUUUUUCAGUCAUGAUAGAACGAUAAGAUUCCGAGAAACAUCCAGGUACCGAAAUGAGAGAUAAUUGAAAUCUAUAAUAAAUAUAAUGCACUAUGUUUUUUUGUUUUAGGCUACAAAUUUAGCAGCAACUAGAGAGAGAUCAGUAAUACUGAAAUUCUAAAUUAGCGUAUAUUCGAAGCUUAGUCUCUCUCCGAAAUCUGUUGAGAUACUGCUUGAUUUUCAGUGAAGAAUAUAGACACCCUUAGAGGCCCUAUAUACAAGUACUACGAAAAAUUUGGCAGAGUCUAUUACUUCCGAGGGCUCCGGUGACCGUUUACGGAAUUCUAACCUACUGCCAGCGAAUAUAAAUGUCUCCGACGCUAGUAUUAUAAAAACAUCCCCACGUUUCACAGUACCAUAAAUCUCUUGAUGUGCGAGGAACACUUAAUAACAGUAGCGUUUGUCUAUAGGAACAAAGUAGAUUUUCUGAAACAGAGAAUACAUUUAAGGAAGUACAGCAACUCCUUGUGGCAUGUUUUUUCGUCGGUAAAGCUGUAGGACGAAAACAGCAAAGAGUUGAUUUACAUUUUGUAUUAUCAUUCUUUUUUUUUCAUUCUGCAUAGUGAAAGAAAUUUUGAAAACAAAUUUGCAUACAGUCAAUGUAUGUAUUAAAAAAAAAAGUAUACACUCAAUGUAUGUCUUCGAAAAGCCUGACUACAAGGCAGCCCAUAUUAAACUGCAUCUGCAACGUGGUGACGUCUUCACAUUGCGAAACCAUGCAGUUACGCGAUGAAGUGCCGUGCGGAAAACCGUGUGCACCAAUAGCUUCAAUAUAAAUCCUCAGAUGGCGCCACGAACAUAUCUAAUUCGCGCAGGCGUUAUCCAAGAUGCUGUGGCCGAAGCGGGAAGAUACAAAGGAAUCGAAAUCGUCAGAUAAGCAGACAAACCAGAAGAGGACGACAUCUACAUGUUGCAAACCAUCAUCAAAAAGCGAAUGCUGCCAAUCCUGCAAACCUCCAUGCAAGUGUAGGAGGAUUGUAAUACGACCACUCAUGUUUUCAUAUUACACAGAUUUGAUGCAUUAAACCAAAAAUUAUGUUUCAUUAUCUGCUCUAUAAUUUUCUACGGAUAAUAUGAAACUUAAAGAAUAUAAAGAUUUAAUAAUU